Long non-coding RNA from Astatotilapia calliptera (eastern happy), 1635 nucleotides. The record is from Ensembl. NCBI's taxonomy places the organism in Eukaryota, Metazoa, Chordata, Actinopteri, Cichliformes, Cichlidae.
CGGUGAGUAGAUGGGAGGCGAGGUACAUGUGGGGGAAGGAUAGCGGCACUUCAGGGCCAGUUUGCUUAACAGACCCUGAAGGUACACUCAUUUCUCAAUUUGUUUUUGUAACUUAUAACACUACAUGAAAUUAUCCUGAAAGACUGGAGCAUUUUUGUGUAGUUAGGUGCAAUUAAAGUACUGUUAUUUAUAUUUUAGAAUUCGAGAGGUUUUCUUUUCACUCCAUUAACAUUUACUUUGCCAUUUAGCCGCGUUUCACAUGAACAACAGGAAAGGGAACGCCACAAAGCGUCAUUAUUUUUCAAACUGGGCCCUGUACUCCUGACAAAAGAUGUACUUCAAACCUGCUGGGAAUUUCCGACUCUGGAGAACAGAGCUGCACAGCGCUGCAAGACUCCUUUCAUUUAGCAGGCAGCAGGAUUUAUACAUUGUAUGCCUUUGGCUGUUUGCUUUAAUGUAAAAGUGCCUCAUGUGCUGCAGAGACACAGCUUUGUUCUUACUUUGAUACAACAGCAAUUCAGUGGUCCUAGGUUGUAAUUUUUUUUUUUUUAAUUCUGGGAGUGACUCAUAAAAUGUAAGACAAGUCAUACUUUAUAGCUUUGCCUUUACUCGUGUUUUUAAGUAAGCAUCUUAUAGUAUUAUAGUGUCUUUAAUUCAUCAGAUUAUGUCCUCUUUUUGUGAGAAUGAUGCUUUAUCUUGUUCCAAUCUCCUUUAGAUGUGGCAAAAACAUUCAAAAUUCUCUUUUAUAAUUUGUUAUGGUGGUUGUCAUUUAUACACACGCUACUGGCCAGUUUAAUAUCACACAUCAUUGCUCAUGCUGUCAGUGGCUGCUAACUACGCCCAUUCAAAUAUUCUCCGCAGUGAUUUGCAUCUGGGCUCCAGACACUGAUCAAUGCACCAUGGCUCUAUUGUUCACACAAGUGUUGGCUGGGUGUAGCUGUAGCAAUCAGAUGCCUUAUCUCACAUUAGACAGAUUUCUCUGGUGAAACCCUAGCCAUGGAAAAUAAAAGGAAAAUAGCUCCGUUCCAGUUCUCCGUAAUGACCGUUCGCCUGCACUGAGGGGCCACGUUGAUUGACAGUGAUGAUGGAAGAUGGCAGUUUCAUUCCUUCCAUCAUUAACACCCCUACAGCUUUUCCACCUACUGCUUGGAGCUGAUCCAGGCAGUUCCCAGGGGAGGCCUUGCAGACUGCCUAAUUGAAUCAAGUACAUAUGGUGCCUCCCCCUUUGCAGCUCGGCCCCUCCCUGAAUGAGAUGAGCGAGGAGGAGAGCUUCAGCUUUGAUGCUUUUGUUCUUCUCAACAUCAUGGACGGCUCUGGGGGGCUUCACUGCAACUAGUUGACUGGUGGAUGGAGAGGCACACCAUCACUACAGAAUCAUGAAUUCAUUCUCCCAAAAAUCCUGAAGCUGAAAAUUGGUGUUUUAGACUGUACAACACUAUAAAUUUCUAGUCUAGCUUUGGACAGAAAGAGCUGACCCAAUCAGAGAGAUCCAAAUAUUCAACAGCCUAUUUAAUCUGUAUGUGAUGCAACCACAUUAUCACUCAUGUGCCAGUGGGCAGGUGGCUUAGACAGGCAAAAUAAACAACUGCUGAUAAGACAAAGACAGCGCUGUGUGACUGUGCAUAACUUCCUGCC